RNAcentral lists this ribosomal RNA (699 nucleotides) under uncultured beta proteobacterium. RNAcentral's name for it is "bacterial SSU rRNA". It matches the Rfam family "Bacterial small subunit ribosomal RNA", at positions 58 to 755 of the family's 1533-position model. Lineage: Bacteria; Pseudomonadati; Pseudomonadota; Betaproteobacteria. The record is from RNAcentral.
CAAGUCGAACGGUAACAGGUCCUCGGAUGCUGACGAGUGGCGAACGGGUGAGUAAUACAUCGGAACGUGCCCGAGAGUGGGGGAUAACGAAGCGAAAGCUUUGCUAAUACCGCAUACGAUCUCUGGAUGAAAGCAGGGGACCGCAAGGCCUUGCGCUCACGGAGCGGCCGAUGGCAGAUUAGGUAGUUGGUGGGAUAAAAGCUUACCAAGCCGACGAUCUGUAGCUGGUCUGAGAGGACGACCAGCCACACUGGGACUGAGACACGGCCCAGACUCCUACGGGAGGCAGCAGUGGGGAAUUUUGGACAAUGGGCGCAAGCCUGAUCCAGCCAUGCCGCGUGCAGGAUGAAGGCCUUCGGGUUGUAAACUGCUUCUGUACGGAACGAAAAGACUCUGGUUAAUACCUGGGGUCCAUGACGGUACCGUAAGAAUAAGCACCGGCUAACUACGUGCCUGCAGCCGCGGUAAUACGUAGGGUGCGAGCGUUAAUCGGAAUUACUGGGCGUAAAGCGUGCGCAGGCGGUUAUGUAAGACAGAUGUGAAAUCCCCGGGCUCAACCUGGGAACUGCAUUUGUGACUGCAUAGCUAGAGUACGGCAGAGGGGGAUGGAAUUCCACGUGUAGCAGUGAAAUGCGUAGAUAUGCGGAGGAACACCGAUGGCGAAGGCAAUCCCCUGGGCCUGUCUGACGCUCAUGCACG